CCUGGAUAUUACUUAAACCGAGACGGGGAGAGGGAGGAAAGGGUGGGCAAAAAAGGUAGGAUAGUUAGAGUAGAAGAGAGUAGGCGGCUAUGGUGUAAGGGAGCUGGGGACAGAGUCAUGAUAAAUUGUGGGCGAUGUGGGAGAUUGGCCCCCGGAGAAUUGGAGCAGGAAGACAUACAUGGGGUAGUCCUAUCUGGAACCACAUGGCUAUGCGAGGAUUGUUAUGAACCUCAUGAGGCGUAUCUGAUAGAAAGAAUAGGUGAGGAGGAGUACUUUGGCGCAGUUACAUCCUGGGGAUUCGGGGUUAACAUGAAAGCCACAGCAGGAAGGCGUAGAGUGGCGAUAGGAAGGAAAGAGAAUAAAAUAGUAGACUUCAGAGAUAGUAGCAAAUGCCCAUGUCAGCCAGCGAAUUGGAAAUAUGGAUCACCACCUCUGGUGAUAAAAAAUUUAAGGACAACAAUGGAAAGAGACACAAGGAGAGAGCCCCAAGUUAUGCUAGGGGACUUGGAGAAAUUUUGGACCAAAGAGGACUUAGAAGAUAAUCAGAUAUCAAGGAAAGAAAAGGAGGAAAGACAGAAAGAGAGAGGUAGGCAGCUAGUGAAAGGAUGGUUUGGGUGUGGCUCAAAAGACAAUGGCCCUAGUGGGCUGCUAGACGCAGGAGUUAGGAGGCAGACGGCACAGGGGCCAGCCUGGAGACCUAUCUGGGCACUAACGGCAACAGAGGAAAGACAAUGGACCUAGCGGGCUGCUAGACACAGGAGUUAGGAGGCAGACGGCACAGGGGCCAGCCUGGAGACCUAUCUGGGCACUAACGGCAACAGAGGAAAGACAAUGGACCUAGCGGGCUGCUAGACGCAGGAGUUAGGAGGCAGACGGCACAGGGGCCAGCCUGGAGACCUAUCUGGGCACUAAAGGCAACAGAGGAAAGACAAGGUAAAAACCAUACAAGGAGAUGGAUCAGAGCAUAAAGGCGAGGGACCUAACUGGUCCAAAAUUGCAGAUCUUACUAGUUCAGUAGUAAGGUGUGAGGCAGCAGCAGGAGACCUAAGAAGGGAGCUGAAAUACAUUAGGGAUGAACUUAUAGGUAUGGUAAACCCCAGAAGUAGGAAGGGCAAGAAGAAGGCCAAGAAAGGCAGGCGACAAUAACAUAAUGGUCUAACCAAUCUUCUCUGAAUUAUAGAAAUCAGAAGCUUCAGAGGAAGAACAGAUGUAUGAGGAAGCAAAGAUCCUAGGAGAAUGGUGUAUGGCUAGAAUGGAGACAUUCAUUAAACAUGGGCAAAUAAUGGAUAGGCCUGACCUGAAUGACUGUUGCGAGGGGCAUAUGUUGUGUUGGGAAAAUACCAGGGAACUAGACUUAUGUGGAGGGUGUGCAUUUAGUGUAAAGGGAAAUCUACAGGGAAGGCUAAAUUGGCAAGGGAAAGAUUUGGAGAGUGUGUGUUUAGGUUGCUUAGAGGAAGCCAGAGAUUGGCCAAAAAUGAGGGUAAUGGUAAAAAGAGGGAUGGCUUGGGAAAUGACCCAGGACAGAGAAGAGGCAAAGUUGAGGGUUGUGUAUAAUGGUAAAGAAAUAGAAUGGGGCAGGCAAAUGGGGAAGAUAGAGUUAUCAGGGCUAAACAAUGAAAUAUAUUACAGAGGAUGGAGCCAGGACUAGGGGAGGAUGGAACCAUCGGUGGGCGUGUUGUUCUAGCAUAACCAAAGGGAAAAUAAUUAGAGACACAAGAUCUGGAAAUAGCCUUAUUACAUUUUUUGUAAAGCUUGCUUUUGUGGUGCAACAUGCAAUAAGUUAGGGUACUGUAAAUAUAAUGAAGAUGAAGCAGAGGACUGGCCCAAAGAUGGGGCAUAUGCAAACAUUGUGGUGAACGGAAGAUUAGCAGUUAAGUCAGUAACGAGUGAUGGUCAGUACCUCAAGAGUAGGUAUUGGUUGAAGAUGGAAGACGGACAGGAGGUUAGCUAUGGCAUGGUACAGAGGAUAGAUGGGCUAAUGUUAGGGGUACGCUAUAAUGGGAGAAUAAUGAGGCAAGGAACUAAGAGAAAGGAGUGUUCAGAUGCUGGAGAGGGUGUGACAAGAGAUAAAAAAUAAUCUGCCCACUCCAUCAAACAAUGGGUACAACACAGGGCAUUCACGGGACCUCAUGGAACCACGGACCGCACCUGCAGAAACUGGACAAGCACCUGCAGAAACUGGACAACAGGGAGAAGCAGAGGAGAUACCUAUCAUAGACUUCUCCCAGCUGACGCUCAACAUACCACCUACGCCACCUCCAGUGGUAGAAACAACCAGCUGGUAUGAUUGAGUGGAAUCAGCCAACAGUAACACGGAAGCAGCAAUGUGAGUGUCAGUAGUGCAUGACCUUGAACGGUAAUAAUAGGAAUCUUCCGUUUAACACACAGGCCUAAGGUUACGUAGGUCUACAGCUCCAGUGGGAACUUCCCCUUUAAAAAGGUAUAUAAAGAGAACAGAGAUCAUAAGACAGCAUGAUCCUCACUAACAUAUGAAACAGACUUCAUAUGGAGAAUCAUCAUAGGUAAAUUUACUAUUGCACUAUAUGCUUUUUGAUAGAGUAAAACAAUAUUUUGGGAACCGGAUAAUUGUGCUUAAGUACUUAUUGGGUCAUACUCUGAAGAAGCUGGUUGAAUCUUGUGAACCUGACUGAGUCUCCGAAAAACAGAGGUCUAACCACCUCUUGAUCACAUAGACAAAGCGGGCGUUCACAUUUUUGACACCAGAAACCAGAGGUGACUAGCAAUUCAAGGAAAAACAGCCAAGUACCAGUUACCAUAUAUUGUGUCUAUGCACAGAGUUGGAAGUGAAUAGUAUUAGGAUAUACACUUUUUGUUGGACUAGAACAAUAUUUUGAGAGCUGGAUAUUUUUGCUUAAGUACUUAUUGGGUCAUACUCUGAAGAAGCUGGUUGAAUCUUGUGAACCCGACUGAGUCUCCGAAAAACAGAGGUCUAAUCACCUCUUGAUCACAUAGACAAAGCGGGCGUUCGCAUUUUUGACACCAGAAACCAGAGGUGAUUAGCAAUUCAAGGAAAAAUAGCCAAGUAUCAGUUACAAUAUAUUGAGUCCAUACACAGAGUUGGAAGUGUACAGAGAUAGUGGAAUUCGGAAUCUAGCGUCAUAGCUGUAAGAAUACCGAUUACGGGAAAGUGACAAAGGGGCUGAGCAUUUAAGGUAAUUGAACUAUUUUAGCUAUUUAGUCAAUAUUGUUAGAAGUGUUAACGCAUUUAAAGUUUUGCAAUAUUAUCUGGCAUAGCUUAAAGCAUUAAGGAUUGAUUGAGCAUUAUUGUUGUAUUGAGAAACUGUAUAACCAUUGAAUUGUAAUGAUGUGUAUAAGACAAAAACUUAAUAAAAGCUUGAAACUUUGACAACUAGGCCAGAUUAACGAUCUGGAGAGCAAACGCCUUUGACACUCUCACUGAACAGAAAGUGACCCUGGUUAUAGGUUAAAGUGAUUGCACUAAAGAAUA
Oncorhynchus nerka (sockeye salmon) is the source of this 3469-nucleotide long non-coding RNA. RefSeq lists it as uncharacterized. The record is from RefSeq and is a predicted model, not a curated record. The transcript has 2 exons. NCBI's taxonomy places the organism in Eukaryota, Metazoa, Chordata, Actinopteri, Salmoniformes, Salmonidae.